AUUGAACGCUGGCGGCAGGCCUAACACAUGCAAGUCGAGCGCGCGGCGGACGGGUGAGUAAUGUCUGGGAAACUGCCUGAUGGAGGGGGAUAACUAAUGGAAACGGUAGCUAAUACCGCAUACCAUCAGCUGUGCCCAGAUGGGAUUAGCUAGUAGGGUGGGUAACGGCUCAACUAGGCGACGAUCCCUAGCUGGUCUGAGAGGAUGACCAGCAAAACUGGAACUGAGCAACGGGCCAGACUCCUUCGGGAGUCAGCAGUGGGGAAUAUUGCACAAUGGGCGCACGCCUGAUGCAGCCACGCCGCGUGUGUGAAGAAGGCCUUCGGGUUGUAAAGCACUUUCAGCGGGGAUGCUUUCGCUAUCGAACAAGGCUCACUUAGGGUGGGUUGAGGGUAGGUGGAGAAGAAGCGCCGGCUAACUACGUGCCAGCCGCCGCGGUAAUUC
This 444-nucleotide ribosomal RNA is filed under the name uncultured bacterium. RNAcentral's name for it is "partial 16S ribosomal RNA". It matches the Rfam family "Bacterial small subunit ribosomal RNA", at positions 30 to 526 of the family's 1533-position model. The record is from RNAcentral.